RNAcentral lists this ribosomal RNA (253 nucleotides) under uncultured bacterium. RNAcentral describes it as "partial 16S ribosomal RNA". It matches the Rfam family "Bacterial small subunit ribosomal RNA", at positions 524 to 776 of the family's 1533-position model. The record is from RNAcentral.
UACAGAGGUGGCGAGCGUUGUUCGGAUUUACUGGGCGUAAAGGGCGCGUAGGCGGCGAUGUGUGUCGGGUGUGAAAUCCCAGGGCCCAACCCUGGAAGUGCGCCCGAAACUGCAUCGCUUGAGUGCGGGAGGGGAGAUCGGAAUACAUGGUGUAGCGGUGAAAUGCGUUGAUAUCAUGUAGAACACCGGUGGCGAAGGCGGAUCUCUGGAACGCAACUGACGCUGAGGCGCGAAAGUCGGGGGAGCAAACAGG